CUAGCGACUUCAAAGUUUGAUCCUGGCUCAGAACGAACGCUGGCGGCAGGCUUAACACAUGCAAGUUGAACGGUAUUGUUGAGUAGCUUGCUAUUUGACAAGAGAGUAGCGCACUGGUGAGUAACACGUGGGAACGUACCUUUUGGUGGGGAAUAACGUUUGGAAACGAACGCUAAUACCGCAUAAGCCCUGAGGGGGAAAGAUUUAUCGCCGAAAGAACGGCCCGCGGAAGAUUAGGUAGUUGGUGGGGUAACGGCCUACCAAGCCGACGAUCUAUAGCUGGUCUGAGAGGACGAUCAGCCACAUUGGAGCUGAGACACGGUCCAA
This 327-nucleotide ribosomal RNA is filed under the name uncultured bacterium. Its description in RNAcentral is "bacterial SSU rRNA". It matches the Rfam family "Bacterial small subunit ribosomal RNA", at positions 1 to 334 of the family's 1533-position model. The record is from RNAcentral.